CACACACACACACACAUACACACGUUAAAUGACCAUUUUGGCUUUCCAUACUCGCUGCUCCGUCUCGCGCACAGUUCCGUGUCUGACAGCGAGACCAAGGAACUCGGAGAGUCUGAGCGCGAGACCGCAGCAGCUGCGAACAGCGGAAGUGAAGACGGUGAGAACUGAAGCCGAGACACGAGAGAAGAAGAGAAGAGCUGUGUGCAAAAAGCAAAAAAUGUGUAAUAAAGGUAUUGUCAAGAGUGGCUUUGAAAAACAUCAUUUAUUUCUGUUCAAAAGCCUGUCAGAUACCGGCGCUCCAAUCCUGACUUUAGAAAUAAAUCCUUUUGAUGCUGGGUGUUAUACAUACAUACAUACAUACAUACACACACAUAUAUAUAUAUAUAUGGUUAUUUUAUCUGCGCGUUUUAUUCUAUCACAAGUUUAUACGCUUACAGCACAACCGCUACUAACCUAAAUUAAUCUCAUCAUACAUCAAUUAAUGCUGAUAUCAGAUUUGAUGGCAGUCUGUUUGGAGUGAGAUGUUUAGAGAGAGGUGUUUGGAGUGAGAUGAGAUGUUUGGAGUGAGAUGUUUAGAGAGAGGUGUGAGAUGUUUGGAGUGAGAUGUUUAGAGUGAGAUGUUUAGAGUGAGGUGUGAUGUUUAGAGUGAGAUGUUUAGAGUGAGGUGUGAUGUUUAGAGUGAGGUGUUUAGAGUGAGGUGUUUAGAGUGAGGUGUGAUGUUUAGAGUGAGAUGUUUAGAGUGAGGUGUUUGGAGAUGAGCUCCUACCUCUGUUCUUCCCCGUGGUGUGAUGGGGUCGGGCGUGUGAACGCUGGCUGUAGUCAAAAAAUCCAUUGAGAAUUAUUAUUCAGCAGACAUGGAGCUCCGAGAUUUAAAACAAAACUAAAAUCCUCGGUUUGUGAUACUUUAAAAAGAGGAAACUCCAGAGAGUCUUCCACACUGUCGAUCACACUCAGCACUGAUUUUCCGGUCCGUAAGGAAUUUUACUAUUUAAUAUCGUGUAAAAAAAACUCGGUACUAGGUAAAGGUUAGACAGAAGACCGCAGAGAGAGAGUUGAACCUGGCAUGAACAUUCUCCAUGACUAUCUCGGUUGAAAUAAAUCGUGUAGUUGUCCGUGAUUGUUUAAAUCCGAGAGGUCGGUUCCUCCGAGUCUCGAGUUUUCAAAGCAGUAGUUCUUGGAAACAUCGUUCCGGUGUACCGAGAAAAAACGCCGCCGUCA
Ictalurus punctatus (channel catfish) is the source of this 1218-nucleotide long non-coding RNA. The record is from Ensembl. Lineage: Eukaryota; Metazoa; Chordata; Actinopteri; Siluriformes; Ictaluridae.